RNAcentral lists this non-coding RNA (28 nucleotides) under Homo sapiens (human). The record is from RNAcentral. Lineage: Eukaryota; Metazoa; Chordata; Mammalia; Primates; Hominidae.
UUCUGUGAGGAGGUGAUGCCAAAGCGGA